This 76-nucleotide transfer RNA is filed under the name Nitrospirota bacterium. RNAcentral describes it as "Nitrospirae bacterium (bioreactor metagenome) tRNA-Thr". It matches the Rfam family "tRNA". From Rfam's summary of the family: Transfer RNA (tRNA) molecules are approximately 80 nucleotides in length. The record is from RNAcentral. Lineage: Bacteria; Pseudomonadati; Nitrospirota.
GCCGACGUAGCUCAGUUGGUAGAGCAGUUGAUUUGUAAUCAUCAGGUCGGGGGUUCGAAUCCUCUCCGCAGCACCA